Molecule: ribosomal RNA, 465 nt
Filed under: Vreelandella stevensii
Lineage: Bacteria; Pseudomonadati; Pseudomonadota; Gammaproteobacteria; Oceanospirillales; Halomonadaceae
Description: partial 16S ribosomal RNA
Rfam family: Bacterial small subunit ribosomal RNA
Source: RNAcentral
CCUACGGGGGGCUGCAGUGGGGAAUAUUGGACAAUGGGGGGAACCCUGAUCCAGCCAUGUCGCGUGUGUGAAGAAGGCCCUCGGGUUGUAAAGCACUUUCAGUGAGGAAGAACGCCUGGUGGUUAAUACCCAUCAGGAAAGACAUCACUCACAGAAGAAGCACCGGCUAACUCCGUGCCAGCAGCCGCGGUAAUACGGAGGGUGCGAGCGUUAAUCGGAAUUACUGGGCGUAAAGCGCGCGUAGGUGGCUUGAUAAGCCGGUUGUGAAAGCCCCGGGCUCAACCUGGGAACGGCAUCCGGAACUGUCAAGCUAGAGUGCAGGAGAGGAAGGUAGAAUUCCCGGUGUAGCGGUGAAAUGCGUAGAGAUCGGGAGGAAUACCAGUGGCGAAGGCGGCCUUCUGGACUGACACUGACACUGAGGUGCGAAAGCGUGGGUAGCAAACAGGAUUAGAUACCCGGGUAGUC